Molecule: long non-coding RNA, 174 nt
Organism: Microtus oregoni (creeping vole)
Lineage: Eukaryota; Metazoa; Chordata; Mammalia; Rodentia; Cricetidae
Exons: 3
Source: RefSeq, a predicted model, not a curated record
CUCCAACCCAAGAUGGACAUAGGCUAGAAUCUUCCUGGUUCCUGCCCUGCUUGAGUUCCUGUCCUGAAUUUCUUCAGGGAUAAACAGCAUAUCUACACCACAGUGGAUUCAUGAAGCUGACCAGACUGGGCUCAAACUCAUAGAGAGCCACCUGCCUCUGCCUCUGCGUGUGGG